Molecule: ribosomal RNA, 983 nt
Filed under: human gut metagenome
Description: bacterial LSU rRNA
Rfam family: Bacterial large subunit ribosomal RNA
Source: RNAcentral
ACGGUCCUAAGGUAGCGAAAUUCCUUGUCGGGUAAGUUCCGACCUGCACGAAUGGCGUAACGACUUCCCCACUGUCUCGACCAGGAGCUCGGCGAAAUUGCAGUACGAGUAAAGAUGCUCGUUAAGCGCAGAAGGACGAAAAGACCCCGGGACCUUUACUAUACCUUGGUAUUGGCGUUAGGCGCGGAUUGUGUAGCAUAGGCGGGAGGCUUCGAAGCGUGGGCGCCAGCUCAUGUGGAGCCGCAAGGUGAAAUACCGCUCUGUUCUCGUUUGACGUCUAACCUCGACAAGUCAUCCUUGUCAGGGACAGUGCCUGGCGGGUAGUUCAACUGGGGCGGUUGCCUCCCAAAGAGUAACGGAGGCGCUCAAAGGUCCGCUCAGCCCGGUUGGCAAUCGGGUGUCGAGUGUAAUCGCACAAGCGGGCUUGACUGCGAGGACGACGGUCCGAGCAGGGACGAAAGUCGGAGAUAGUGAUCCGGUGCCGGCGCACGGGCGCGGCAUCGCUCAACGGAUAAAAGGUACCCCGGGGAUAACAGGCUGAUCAUUCCCAAGAGUCCAUAUCGACGGGAUGGUUUGGCACCUCGAUGUCGGCUCGUCGCAUCCUGGGGCUGGAGCAGGUCCCAAGGGUUCGGCUGUUCGCCGAUUAAAGCGGCACGCGAGCUGGGUUCAGAACGUCGUGAGACAGUUUGGUCUCUAUCCUCUGCGCUCGUUGGAAUCCUGAGGAGGCCUGCCCAUAGUACGAGAGGACCUGGGUGGACGAACCUCUGGUAUGCCGGUUGUCGCGCCAGCGGCACGGCCGGUUGGCUACGUUCGGGAGGGAUAACCGCUGAAAGCAUCUAAGCGGGAAGCCUGCUCCAAGAUUAGGAUUCCGUACGGUCUUGAACCGUUGUAGCCCGCAUGUUGAACACGUGUUCGAUAGGCCGGAGGUGGAAGUCCCGCGAGGGAUGGAGCCGACCGGUACUAACGGGCGACGGCGACACAAC